CAGAGAGCAGAUCUCCCAGUAGAGAUUCUUCCCCUUAGACAGCCGGCCCUUAAAUGAGGUUAGGGAGGGCUGGGACCAGGCUCCACCCCUUUUCUGCACAGGUGAAACGCUUCCAGCUGUGCUCCUCAGCAGACCAUGUUUUAACAAAGGUGAAAGCCUGUGAAACAAAAGAAUCCCUUCUUACUUGUUUCACGUUUGUGUUUGUUGACCGCAGUUCCAACCAGGUGGACUCUCAAUGUCUUGCAAGCGACACCUAGAAGCAGGUACAGGCAGGAGGCACAGCACCCUGCAACCUCCAGGGGCCUUUGUGCAAAUGUUCAUGUCCUAGAAGCACGUGGCGGAGCACGUCCUGGGAUCAAGGUGCCAUGGACUGGAAAAUGCAGCUCUGGACAUACAGGCUUGGCGGAGUUCCUGUGUGAAGACAAAACUCCCAGUACUCCAGAAACGUGGAGGCAGAAGAGCAGUGACAAGG
Gallus gallus (chicken) is the source of this 472-nucleotide long non-coding RNA. RefSeq lists it as uncharacterized. The transcript has 2 exons. The record is from RefSeq and is a predicted model, not a curated record. Lineage: Eukaryota; Metazoa; Chordata; Aves; Galliformes; Phasianidae.